RNAcentral lists this ribosomal RNA (429 nucleotides) under Chloroflexota bacterium. RNAcentral describes it as "Chloroflexi bacterium partial 16S ribosomal RNA". It matches the Rfam family "Bacterial small subunit ribosomal RNA", at positions 355 to 776 of the family's 1533-position model. The record is from RNAcentral. Lineage: Bacteria; Bacillati; Chloroflexota.
UGGGGAAUAUUGCACAAUGGGCGCAAGCCUGAUGCAGCCAUGCCGCGUGUAUGAAGAAGGCCUUCGGGUUGUAAAGUACUUUCAGUCGGGAGGAAGGUGGUAAGGUUAAUAACCUUAUCAAUUGACGUUACCGACAGAAGAAGCACCGGCUAACUCCGUGCCAGCAGCCGCGGUAAUACGGAGGGUGCAAGCGUUAAUCGGAAUUACUGGGCGUAAAGCGCACGCAGGCGGUUGAUUGAGUCAGAUGUGAAAUCCCCGGGCUUAACCCGGGAAUUGCAUCUGAUACUGGUCAGCUAGAGUCUUGUAGAGGGGGGUAGAAUUCCAUGUGUAGCGGUGAAAUGCGUAGAGAUGUGGAGGAAUACCGGUGGCGAAGGCGGCCCCCUGGACAAAGACUGACGCUCGGGUGCGAAAGCGUGGGGAGCAAACAGG